Molecule: long non-coding RNA, 335 nt
Filed under: Homo sapiens (human)
Lineage: Eukaryota; Metazoa; Chordata; Mammalia; Primates; Hominidae
Description: HSALNT0373718
Source: RNAcentral
GCCUGCCACCAUGUAAGAUGUUCCUUUGCUCUUCCUUCACCUUCUGCCAUGAUUGUGAAGCCUCCCCAGCCAUAUGGAACUGGAUGGAGUCUCACUAUGCUGCUCAAGGUGGUCUCAAACUCCUCGGCUUAAGUGAUCCCUCUGCCUCAGCUUCCUAAGUGCUGUCAUUACAGUUGGACGCGCGUGAAAUUUGGUGCCGUGACUCGGAUCGGGGGACUUCCCUUGGGAGAUCAAUCCCCUGUCCUCCUGCUCUUUACUCCGUGAAAAAGAUCCACUUACGACCACAGGUCCUCAGACCCACCAGCCCAAGGAACAUCUCACCAAUUUUAAAUCAG